Molecule: microRNA precursor, 123 nt
Filed under: Gossypium hirsutum (cotton)
Lineage: Eukaryota; Viridiplantae; Streptophyta; Magnoliopsida; Malvales; Malvaceae
Also listed under: 1 other name
Description: MIR7504 microRNA precursor family
Rfam family: MIR7504 microRNA precursor family
Source: Rfam by way of RNAcentral
AAUAAUUUAAUGCCACAUCGGCAUUUUCAUCUUGAAUUUCAGUAUUUUCAUCUUGAAAAAAAUCACAUCCAAAUGAAAAUUUUGAAAUUCAGGAUGAAACUGUAGAUGUGACAUUAAACUAUU